This 80-nucleotide ribosomal RNA is filed under the name Fervidobacterium pennivorans. RNAcentral describes it as "partial 23S ribosomal RNA". Lineage: Bacteria; Thermotogati; Thermotogota; Thermotogae; Thermotogales; Fervidobacteriaceae. The record is from RNAcentral.
CGAUAGUGUUAACUUGUAGUGAUGGAAGUAGCUAACUGAGAAAUGACAUUAUCGAUGUUGCUCUUGUUGGUUUUCCAAAG